UACGAAGGGGGCUAGCGUUGUUCGGAAUUACUGGGCGUAAAGGGCGCGUAGGCGGCCGGCUAAGUUAGAUGUGAAAGUCCUGGGCUCAACCUGGGGACUGCAUUUAAUACUGGUUGGCUUGAAUUCGGGAGAGGAUAGCGGAAUUCCCAGUGUAGAGGUGAAAUUCGUAGAUAUUGGGAAGAACACCGGUGGCGAAGGCGGCUCACUGGCCCGUAACUGACGCUCAGGCGCGAUAGCGUGGGGAUCAAACAGG
RNAcentral lists this ribosomal RNA (253 nucleotides) under uncultured bacterium. Its description in RNAcentral is "partial 16S ribosomal RNA". It matches the Rfam family "Bacterial small subunit ribosomal RNA", at positions 524 to 776 of the family's 1533-position model. The record is from RNAcentral.